AUGGGCAAGUGAGACUAAGCCGUGACGUCGACGUUGCCCUGGCAACCUAGGGACACUCUUGGAGUUGUUGGACCGCCCAACCCGUGACUUGCGCUCUGUAAGGUCGUGACCUGUGUGUGCGGAAAAAACCUAAAAUGAGCCUGGUUUAAGAGCUACCACAGGUGCUGGACUCUUCUAGAAAACCUGUCGCGUCGGUUUGGUCUCCUUUAUAACACCGUUAACUGGUUGGAAUAUACCAAUAAAUAUGCUGUUACUGCUCAAACAAACCACUUCCUUGUGUUGCCAUCUUCAAUCAAAAUGUAGACUGCUAUAGCUGGGGAGGAUGAAGAUCUAGCACCACACACUAUCUUCUUAUCUUCCCAUUCUGCUUUCAACAUAAACCAGAGACCAUUAGGAACACAGCUGAAAGCAAGUUAAAUUUAUUAUUUUCUGCAACAAAGAAGACCCUACAUCAUAGAGAGCAAAGAAAAAUUAAUAAAAGGAGAGAGGAACGGAAAAAGCAUGACAUGUGCAACAGGGACUCUUUGGAAAGGAAGCUGCACUUAUUGGCAAGGUGAUGAAGCCAAGGAAAAAAGAAAGGCUACCAUCUGUGUUUCUUUUCUGAAGUGAAGCUGGAAGGAACUCACUCACAAGCUCUACCGGACAGAACAGUCAAGGCAAUGGAAUCCGUCUAUUCUCCCUGAAGGAAGUAAGCAUCCAAUGCUUGGGAAAUUGCAGUUAAAUUAAAUGUCAAAAUACUUUCAGCUGAAUUGUCAGGCUCCUCUGCUUUAACUGGUGUCAUC
This 782-nucleotide long non-coding RNA is filed under the name Felis catus (domestic cat). RNAcentral describes it as "lncRNA (ENSFCAG00000040281.2)". Lineage: Eukaryota; Metazoa; Chordata; Mammalia; Carnivora; Felidae. The record is from RNAcentral.